This is an RNA transcript of Nothobranchius furzeri (turquoise killifish), 3497 nucleotides long. It is a transcript of the gene named leucine rich repeat transmembrane neuronal 4 like 1, with no coding region annotated. The record is from RefSeq and is a predicted model, not a curated record. Lineage: Eukaryota; Metazoa; Chordata; Actinopteri; Cyprinodontiformes; Nothobranchiidae.
AUCUCGGCUCUAACGAGCAGACUUGAACUGCGCCUUCCCAUCUGCAAUAAUUAUGCAACAUGAGGUGGGAUGAUCCGACAGGCUUCCCACUCACGCUGUAAUGAUGACCACAUAUAGCUUCUUAUCCUCCACCGCACCUGCAUAACAGCCCGACGCGGGAAGGACACGAGCGGGAGGGCGGCGGGCAGUUUGGAUGGAAGUUGUUGGUGAGGAAGGGUGAAACAGGACAAACCUGAGUGGAGCUGCUGGUAAAGCUUUCUCAUUUUCGAUCAAAUCACGCACGUGCGCGCCUUGUACAAGCUCUGCUACAGUGCAGCCGAGCGCACGCGCACUUUGGAAACCCGCUCCUCUCCUUUGGUGCGCCGCUCAGCUGAGAGUCAGCCACUCUACUCUGCUGCCUUUCUCAUUUUUUGCGCCCUUGCCGCUCCGCUGGAUGUUUGCGCAAAGGAUAUCGCCUCCACCGCUCAGUCUCCGCAUCUCCGCGGCUUCACCUGUGAACUUAAACAGCUCUGUUCCUCGCCUUGCCUAAUUCGGACACGAUCAUGGCUGUUAGUCGGGGGUGAGGGAACCUUCAUCAUCAUCGAGCCCCAAUUUGGGAGCUCGUUUUUAUUUAUUUGUUUAAAAAAAUUGUUUUAUUUAUUUUAUUUUUUGUUUUUCUUGCCAGUUUUGGAAAGUUGUAGUGCGCCAUGGAGCGAGAGCGCACACUUUAAUAGCUCUUUAUUUCCUCCAAAUUCUUGAGAGUUGUUUGAGAAUGAAGGCAUGUGAGUCACCCGCGGCGUGAAACAUGCGAAAGUCUCCACGGAUCCUCUGAUUCUGGAGAGAAAAAGGCGACACACACGGAGCAAGUCGUCCCGGGGAUUGCGCUGCAGAGAACUGGGUUUCAGGACCGAUGAGCCAACAUGGGUACAUUGCUGUGUGAUGGACGGAUGACGCACCUCCUCUUCCCUCUGCUUCUCCUUUUGCGAGUUCCCCUGUUGUUCAGCUUUGGCGAGCGCACCUGCCCCAACAGCUGCCGCUGUGAGGGGAAAACUGUACAUUGUGACUCGUCUGGAUUUUUAGAUGUCCCAGAAAACAUCUCAGUAGGCUGCCAGGGCCUCUCCCUGCGCUACAAUGAGCUGCACACCCUUCUACCUUAUCAGUUUGCUCAUCUCAGCCAGCUCCUGUGGAUAUACUUGGACCAUAAUCAGAUCUCAGCCGUGGACAGCCGAGCAUUUCAGGGGGUCCGCAGGUUAAAAGAGCUAAUACUUAGCUCCAACAGGAUCACGUCCCUGCAUAAUUCAACAUUUCAUGGCAUUCCUAACCUUCGCAGUCUGGACUUGUCAUACAACAAACUGGAAAUCCUGCAACCAGGUCAAUUUCAUGGUUUACGAAAACUCCAAAACCUACACCUACGCUCCAACGGUCUUUCCAACAUUCCAAUUCGAGCAUUUUUAGAGUGCAGAAGUUUGGAGUUUCUAGAUUUGGGCUACAAUAGGAUCAAAGCUCUAACCCGCACCACCUUCCUGGGUUUACAGAGGCUGAUGGAAUUGCAUUUGGAACACAACCAGUUCUCGCGGAUCAACUUUUUUCUCUUUCCACGCUUAGCAAAUCUGAGAUCGCUCUAUCUGCAAUGGAAUCGCAUUCGAGUUGUCAACCAGGGCCUUCCAUGGACUUGGUACACGCUGCAAAAACUGGAUCUGUCUGGAAAUGAAAUCCAAACACUGGACCCGGCUGUGUUCCACUGCCUGCCCAACCUCCAAGCUUUAAAUCUGGAAUCCAACAAGUUGUCUAACGUGUCCCAGGAGGCUGUGUCAGCAUGGAUCUCACUGACCACCAUCAGCCUAGCUGGCAACAUGUGGGAUUGUGGAAUGGGCAUUUGUCCCCUUGUGGCUUGGUUGAGAAAUUUCCGGGGAACAAAGGACACCACAAUGAUAUGCAGCAGCCCAAAGCAGCUCCAGGGAGAAAAGAUCAUGGACGUCACUCGAAACCACGGUAUUUGUGAGGAAAACGAUUACUUUUUGACAGAAACACCAUCACCAACGUCGGAGCUGAUUUCAGAAGCCACUGCUGAACCAACCUUUGGCCCCACUAGUGGUUCUCCAACCUCCCCACCAGCUAUUACCUUCGGUCCCCUCCCCCCAUUCAGACUUCGACCUAUCCCACAUCCUACCUUCCCUGGCCACAUGAGCAAAGACCCUAAAAACACGGUGAUCCGUCCUCAACCCACUCACGUUUCACCCCCGGUGAUGGAGCAAAUGACUCUGCACAAAGUUGUGGUGGGCAGCGUGGCACUUUUCUUCACCAUGUCACUGAUUUUGACAAUUAUUUAUGUGCUGUGGCGCCGUUAUCCAGGUGCAACCAGGUUGCUGCAGCAGCGAUCGAUGGUGGGACGCCGGCGUCGCAAAAAGAGCCCAGAGCCAGAGCAAAACCUCAGCUCCCAGCUUCAAGAGUAUUACAUGAGCUACAACCCUGCUGCCACACCAGAGGCACUGGAGGUGCUAGGCAAUGGCACCAGCUCCUGCACUUGCACAAUUUCUGGCUCCAGGGAGUGUGAGGUAUGACCCAUCGCUUCAGCCCUAAAAAUAAAAACGCUAAAUCAAAACACAAGGCUCGAGAGAGAGAAUGAGUACACCUGUCCACGCCCCCUACCUGGUGCCUGGUUAGGAGACGUGCCUACAAUCCAUUAAUUCUCAGAAAGGACACUUGUUGGACAACGCAACAAAUCAAGGAGAGACACCAUAUGCAGAGGAACUAACCAGGAUCCUGUCAUUCCAAAAAGACAACUAUGGACCAGAAGAAAGGGGAGAUAUUACAACUUUUUUUCAAACAAUUUUAUAGCAUCUUUUUGUGGUCUUUGGCUUUGGCAUGUUUCACAAACAAAGAAGUCUGUGGGCAAUGUUCUUUAUGGAGAACAUCAGAGCCUUGAAGGACAAACUAAUAGGAUAGGCAUAAACGUUACAACUUUUUUGUAAUAAAAAGGCUCUCUCCAGCAGGACAACAUGGCAGUGUACAAAAAGAGGGUGAGGACUCCUCCCAUGACACACCUGUGUAUAAUUUAAAGAGGGUUUCCAUAUUUUAAAUUCAUAAAAAGCAUAAAUAUAUCAUUUUUUCAAAACCUUUUUUAAAAGAAAGAUUAUUCCUAUGUGCAAUGAUAGUACCUCACUGGAGCAGAAAAUCACACACAGGUUUUAGUUCAGUGAAUCUACCUUUUUCCAGCUGGAAGAGUUUUAAAGCUUGUGAAAACUGCUCCUACUGUUUUAAUUAAAAAAAAUUAUUGGGGGGGGGGGGAUUUUUCCCCAAAUUUUCUUUUAAAUGCAACCAGGCAUCAAUUUGGCGGCCAAUAAGAGACAAAAGAACACAAGAAACGCUCUUCAAUCCAUGAUAAAAGUGUAAUUUCCUAAAAUUCUAAUGUUGUUGAUGUUGUACUUUUAUUAGUAUAUGUCUAUGCCGGUUGCAGCAUCUGAUACCAAAGAGCCAAAUGGAUCUUUGUUUGCUUUUGGCUCACCUUAACACAACGG